UGGGAGGGCUGGCACUUGCCUUGUGGGUGAGCAGGUCAGGGGGCCGAGACCUAGUUGGAGCCUCAGCUUGUGUCACUGGAAGGCUCCCAUCCUGACCUGGAGGCCCAUGAGAGGUCAGCUUGUUCAGUCCCCUGCCUCAGAGCAGAGCAUACCUGGGCCGGGCAGCUGAGUCUCAGACAAAGCAGCCCCCGGAGGCAGACCUUAGUGGCCAGUUGUGAUUGGAGCCACUUUGUCCCGAUGAGCCCCAGCUUCGUCACCUGUGACUACGACUCUGCAGGGAUCCCCCGGUGUGGUUCCCCAGUGCCAGUGUUGUCUGAUUCCAGUCUGGUGCUCCUUGGUUCCUGAGCCAGCCUGAGGAGUCUGAGCAUUCUGUCACUUGCGACCAAGCAGUGUUAAUACAGAGAAGUCACCACUGUGGGAAUGGAGAGGAGCUGGAUCCUGAAGUGGACGUGUCUGGACUUGGUGAGUAGUGCUUCUGUGGGGUGGGCAGCUGCGAAGGAAUCUAGUUUCCUUAUCUGGAAUCUGGAUGGGAUAUCCUGCCUAGGUGCUAGGCGGUGUAUCCCAGACAGGAAGUGAGGAGUAGGAGGGAUGUGAGAGAAGAGAUCCUGGAGCUUGAGGAUGAGGCGGGAAGGAGGGAGAUGAACUCAAGGCAGCUGGGGGCUGGGGGGAGAAAGAGCGCUUUGUAACACGAACCAAUCUGGGUGAUGUGGUUCCAUCUGCCUCAAAUAUUGCUUGACGCUUUGUUAUACACCAGGCAGUGUACUGGUUAAUAAAACAGUUUGGGGAUGGGUAUUGUUAUCCUCAUCUUACAUGUAAAGAAAGGGUGAUACAGAGAAGUGAAACAGCUUGUACAAAAUCAGAAAAUCAGAGACCAAAAUUCAAACCUGGGUCUAACUGCUAUGCUGAUGCUCUUAAGAACCUAAACAGAUGCUCAGAUGAGGGAACAAAGUCUCUGCCUCAGUCCCUGAGUUUUUACAUAUUUCCAAUGAGUCCUUUAAGUAAAAUAUUCUCCCUGCAAGUACUUUGUGAGGCAAUGCAGUUGAGUAAUAGAAUCUGGGGGCCUGGUUCACUUUGUAAAUACCAAUUCUUUCAUCCUCUUCCCCUACCGGGGUCCAGUCAAAUGAGCACUAAUACAGACAGUUGGUUACCCACCCCGUGGCCCUUCCACUCCCCUUCUCUCAGCACCCACCGAGGUUGCUUUUAAGUGUUCAUGCUUAUCCUUCUGGGACCAGGGUUAGUACUGUGGCAUUAAUAGUGACAUUACCCCCCUUGCUUGGGAUAGAUUCAAGCAUGUGAUGCGACUCAAUUCUGGCCAAUGAGCAGUGAAGAAUAGAUUCCUAUUCGUUUAUAGGGGGCUUCUGAGAAAAACUUUCCUUGAUCUUAAAAUGGGACACAAUGAUGAGAUGUUUUCUGGGGUUUUAUUUAUUUAUUUAUUUAUUUAUUUAUUUGCUGCUGUGCGCAUUGUGUGGUGAUGUGAUGUCUGGGGUGGGCGCAACCAUCUUGCAACUGUGAGGCAAGCUAGCCAAGGACGAGGCGACGUGCUGAGAAUGGCAGAAGGGAAGGAAAAGAGGAAGUCUGGGUCACUCAUGAUGAUGCUGAGCUGCAGGAUUAACCUCUUCUGAAGCUAUUGUUCCUCUGGACUUCUUGUUCUCUGAGAUAAGACACUUUCCUUAUUGUCUAAGCCACCUGAAAGAAGUUCUCUGUUUCUGGCCACUGAAAAGACCUUUACCGAUGUAUGAGCCACGGGUUCAAAAGAAUGUACACCCAAUGUGCUAAUGUGAUAUGCCGACAGUUGGAACAACAGCAUUGGUUAAAGGGGAAAACCGGAUUCCUUGACCAAGGGAGGCACUGAAAAGUCCUUUCUCUGCUGGUUCAGUGGGGAGAGAGUGUGGCAGUCUGAGGCCCUGCACUCUGCAUCUCGUCCACGCAUGUGGGAGGCCUCCUAUCAGAGGAGAGGUCUGCUCCUGGCCAGCCGAACUUCUGACUCCCAUUUCCUGUAGGGUCAGCAGAGGAAAGCAGCUUUAUUUACUGAGUCAGGAUGGAAAACAGAUGUCUAAGCACCCCGCUGGGCCCGGGCUCACCCUGGACAGAGGCCGGGCCUGUUCUCAGCCCUGACCCGCCCACCAACCUCUUGUUCCCCAUAUCGAGUCCAGAUGUGGCUUCUUCCAAGCUCUAAUAAUAAUUUUGAUUUGUUGCAGCUAAAUAAACUACACCCCUCCCAGCUCAACCCUUCACUCGCUAACUCUCCAAGGAGUAUGGGAGCAAUGCUAUGAAACAUUUGUUAAGGAACCCCGGGUGGGGCAGAGAGGAAUGUGAAUUUGAGAAGCAGAGCAAUGUGGGUUCAGCUGCAGCCUGGUCUCAUAUUAACUGAGUGAUUUCAACCCUUGUAUCAGUCAUCAAUUGCUGUGUAACAAGCCACCACAAAAGUCAGUGGCUCAAAACCAGCAACUGUUCAUUUGCUCAUGGAUCUAAAGUUUGGGUGGGGCUUGGUGGGACAGCUCAUUCAUUCUCCACAUUGUGUUGUGUUUGGUAAGUGAAGUCAGAUGGGUCAAUGGAGCACAGGUGUGAGCAGAGGUCAGCAUUACCUCUGGGCCCAGCCAGCUCAUUGCUUUCCUGUUCCCAUAGAGAUAGUUCUUUUUCUUCUCAGUCCUUCCUUCCUCAUCAGUAAACUGAAGGCAGAGAAUGUCUGUAGAAUGUGUGCAUAGCAAGAGAAGUUGGAGUUCCUGUCGUGGCUCAGGGGCUAACGAAUCUGACUAGGAACCAUGAGGUUGCAGGCUCCAUCCCUGGCCUUGUUCAGUGGGUUAAGGACCUGGCAUUGCCGUGAGCUGUGGUGUAGGUUGCAGACGCAGCUCGGAUCCCACGUUGCUGUGGCUCUGGGGUGGGCUGGCGGCUAAAACUCCGAUUAGACCCCUAGCCUGGGAACCUCCAUAUGCUGCGGGAGCGGCCCAAGAAACGGCAAAAA
Molecule: long non-coding RNA, 2962 nt
Filed under: Sus scrofa (pig)
Lineage: Eukaryota; Metazoa; Chordata; Mammalia; Artiodactyla; Suidae
Description: lncRNA (ENSSSCG00050027406.1)
Source: RNAcentral